This 626-nucleotide ribosomal RNA is filed under the name uncultured bacterium. RNAcentral's name for it is "bacterial SSU rRNA". It matches the Rfam family "Bacterial small subunit ribosomal RNA", at positions 60 to 675 of the family's 1533-position model. The record is from RNAcentral.
AGUCGAACGGCAGCAUGAUCUAGCUUGCUAGAUUGAUGGCGAGUGGCGAACGGGUGAGUAAUACAUCGGAACGUGCCCUGUAGUGGGGGAUAACUAGUCGAAAGAUUAGCUAAUACCGCAUACGACCUGAGGGUGAAAGUGGGGGACCGCAAGGCCUCAUGCUAUAGGAGCGGCCGAUGUCUGAUUAGCUAGUUGGUGGGGUAAAGGCCCACCAAGGCGACGAUCAGUAGCUGGUCUGAGAGGACGAUCAGCCACACUGGGACUGAGACACGGCCCAGACUCCUACGGGAGGCAGCAGUGGGGAAUUUUGGACAAUGGGGGCAACCCUGAUCCAGCAAUGCCGCGUGUGUGAAGAAGGCCUUCGGGUUGUAAAGCACUUUUGUCCGGAAAGAAAUCGCACUUACUAAUAUUAGGUGUGGAUGACGGUACCGGAAGAAUAAGGACCGGCUAACUACGUGCCAGCAGCCGCGGUAAUACGUAGGGUCCAAGCGUUAAUCGGAAUUACUGGGCGUAAAGCGUGCGCAGGCGGUUGUGCAAGACCGAUGUGAAAUCCCCGGGCUUAACCUGGGAAUUGCAUUGGUGACUGCACGGCUAGAGUGUGUCAGAGGGGGGUAGAAUUCCACGUG